Molecule: long non-coding RNA, 582 nt
Filed under: Oryza sativa Indica Group (long-grained rice)
Lineage: Eukaryota; Viridiplantae; Streptophyta; Magnoliopsida; Poales; Poaceae
Description: lncRNA OsGoSa_08g0019300
Source: RNAcentral
AUGGCAAUCAGCAGAAGGAGCUCCAUGCUGUUGGUGAUGGCCUUAGUGCUUGGGACGGUCUCCCUUGCCACGGCCGCAUCUGGAGUCGCCACCUUCUACACUCAAUACACACCAUAUGAAAGAACUGUUAAACUAAACUAACCAUCUCUCUCUCUGAUCUCUUGAAAUUUACUAACCAUGUCUCUAAUCCAUUCUCUCUCUCUAUAUAUAUAUGUGUGUGUGUGUGUGUGUGUUUGUUUUGCUAUAUGACAUAGCUGACCAUGUAUCUGUGUCUCUACAGCGUCGGCGUGCUACGGGAACAGGAACAUGGGGAACAUGGUGGCGGCGGCGAACGACAGGUUGUACAACAACGGCGCCGUGUGCGGGCGGUGCUACGCCGUGAAGUGCGCCGGCGCGGCGGCCGGCGGCGGCGGAGGCAACCCCUGCACCGGCGCCAGCGUCACCGUGAAGAUGGUCGACAACUGCGCCAGCAGCGACGGGUGCACGAGCACCAUCGACCUCUCCAGGGAGGCCUUCGCCAAGAUCGCCAACCUCGACGCCGGCGUCAUCAGGAUCACCUACAACCCAACGUACGUAUAGUAC